UUUGGGUGAGGGCGUGUUGGUUCCUGUCUAUGACAGGCGAAGAGGGAAUGCGACAAGGCCCCGGGUCAUCAGACCCGCGACCCCAAGCGCAGCCGCCCCCGCGACCGUGACCGGAGAGGUCGCCCGAUCCACUGGCCCCGAUUGGGGCUGGGAAGGUGGGACGACCGUCGGGGCAUCCGCCCCUGAAUCCGCAAGCCGGGAGACCUGCCAGCACCUGACGAUGACG
Molecule: non-coding RNA, 226 nt
Filed under: Paracoccus sp. (in: a-proteobacteria)
Lineage: Bacteria; Pseudomonadati; Pseudomonadota; Alphaproteobacteria; Rhodobacterales; Paracoccaceae
Also listed under: 1 other name
Source: RNAcentral